AUUGAACGCUGGCGGCAGGCCUAACACAUGCAAGUCGAAUGGUAACAGGAAACAGCUUGCUGUUUCGCUGACGAGUGGCGGACGGGUGAGUAAUGUCUGGGAAACUGCCUGAUGGAGGGGGAUAACUACUGGAAACGGUAGCUAAUACCGCAUAACGUCGCAAGACCAAAGAGGGGGACCUUCGGGCCUCUUGCCAUCAGAUGUGCCCAGAUGGGAUUAGCUAGUAGGUGGGGUAACGGCUCACCUAGGCGACGAUCCCUAGCUGGUCUGAGAGGAUGACCAGCCACACUGGAACUGAGACACGGUCCAGACUCCUACGGGAGGCAGCAGUGGGGAAUAUUGCACAAUGGGCGCAAGCCUGAUGCAGCCAUGCCGCGUGUAUGAAGAAGGCCUUCGGGUUGUAAAGUACUUUCAGCGGUGAGGAAGGGAGUAAAGUUAAUACCUUUGCUCAUUGACGUUACCCGCAGAAGAAGCACCGGCUAACUCCGUG
This 490-nucleotide ribosomal RNA is filed under the name uncultured bacterium. RNAcentral describes it as "partial 16S ribosomal RNA". It matches the Rfam family "Bacterial small subunit ribosomal RNA", at positions 30 to 507 of the family's 1533-position model. The record is from RNAcentral.